GGAAGUCGCUUGCUGUCUCUGGGCCAGAGUUUCCUCUUUUGAAAAACGGAAGGAUUAACUAGGCGAUCUUGAAGGCCCUUUGGCUGUGGCAGAGUCUGGCGCACAGAAGCGAAAGAAGCACAGAUGCAGCCAGGGAAAGGGAUGUGGAAUUGGCCAACUAUGGGGGCAACUUGCUCACCCUCAGGCAGGGCUCUGCCUGCUGACAUCAAGCCAAUUACAGCAUCCUUCUGAGAGGCCGGCAAAGAAAACAAAGGCUCUGAAAGAGGAAAGAAAGACCCCCAGUCAGCACUUGGGCUGUGGAAGCUUCAGGAAUAACACUCAAAAGUGUGGGAGCCAGCCUAGACUGGAAUCCCAGUUCUACUUCACAAGCUGUGUGACCCUGGACAGUGUACUUAACCUCUCAGUUUUGUUAUCUAUAAAGACCUCUUUGGUUGGUCCUGGGGAUUAGCUAAAAUGACAGAAAUGAAAGCACUUUGGAGGAACAAAAAAUGGAAUCCACUGAAGCCUUCAGCUGUGCUGUGUUGUAAAUGAAAGCUGCUUAACCGAGAGUGGCAUAUGGAAUCUCAGACAUGCAUCUGAGUCUCAGCUGUUUACUGUGUGACCCUCAGAUACUCACUCAACCUCUCAGAGCCUUGGUGUCAUCUGUAAGAGGCAAGUGUUUAUGGUAUUUUCCCUAAAAGGAUGAUGGAAGGAAAAUCAGAAAAGAGCCUGUGCAAAGUGCCAGCCUCUCAAUAGGCCUCAAAAAGUUACGCUUCUCUUAUUCCCCAGGCAUCCUCAUUCCAGAGCCAGGGUGGCACUACCAUUAUCCGCAGGUGUGUGUGUCACUAUGCCACCCUGGGUGCCGGGCCAGGCUGCGGGGCACGGCCAAGCCCUGGAUGACCCACAGCAGCCUACCCACCCAGUGGUUAGCUCAGGAAAGCCUCAAAUUAUACAAUUUAUGAAACCCAAUCCAGUUUUCCGACUGGAACGUGUGAUUAGAGAGAUUACACAUUCACUGUUGCAAUUAUGGUAAUGUUGAUGUGUGGACAGAUAACUGGCAGCGGGGCUGUUCUGAACCGUCUAUUUAUAGGUUGAAGAUUCUUGCUAUCUCAAGGCAGACAUAUGGGCCAUAAAGGCAGGCGACAAAAACAGGAGGGGAGAGCAAAGCUCCCUCGAAAUGAAAAGACACGAAAGGAAGCGGUAAUUAGGGCUGGGACCAGCUUAUGUAAAUCAGGUAAUACUUUCAAAACAGAGAUGAGAUCUGGUUUUAAUAAAGCGCAUUGGAACAAAUGGUGGAAUAAUGACU
This 1285-nucleotide long non-coding RNA is filed under the name Capra hircus (goat). Its description in RNAcentral is "lncRNA (ENSCHIG00000001040.1)". The record is from RNAcentral. Lineage: Eukaryota; Metazoa; Chordata; Mammalia; Artiodactyla; Bovidae.